RNAcentral lists this ribosomal RNA (253 nucleotides) under uncultured bacterium. RNAcentral's name for it is "partial 16S ribosomal RNA". It matches the Rfam family "Bacterial small subunit ribosomal RNA", at positions 524 to 776 of the family's 1533-position model. The record is from RNAcentral.
UACGUAGGGCGCAAGCGUUAUCCGGAAUUAUUGGGCGUAAAGAGCUCGUAGGCGGUUUGUCGCGUCUGCCGUGAAAGUCCGGGGCUCAACUCCGGAUCUGCGGUGGGUACGGGCAGACUAGAGUGUGGUAGGGGAGACUGGAAUUCCUGGUGUAGCGGUGAAAUGCGCAGAUAUCAGGAGGAACACCGAUGGCGAAGGCAGGUCUCUGGGCCAUAACUGACGCUGAGAAGCGAAAGCAUGGGGAGCGAACAGG